RNAcentral lists this ribosomal RNA (468 nucleotides) under uncultured bacterium. RNAcentral's name for it is "partial 16S ribosomal RNA". It matches the Rfam family "Bacterial small subunit ribosomal RNA", at positions 28 to 507 of the family's 1533-position model. The record is from RNAcentral.
GACGAACGCUGGCGGCGUGCUUAACACAUGCAAGUCGAACGGAAAGGCCCUGCUUUUGUGGGGUGCUCGAGUGGCGAACGGGUGAGUAACACGUGAGUAACCUGCCCUUGACUUUGGGAUAACUUCAGGAAACUGGGGCUAAUACCGGAUAGGAGCUCCUGCUGCAUGGUGGGGGUUGGAAAGUUUCGGCGGUUGGGGAUGGACUCGCGGCUUUUCAGCUUGUUGGUGGGGUAGUGGCUUACCAAGGCUUUGACGGGUAGCCGGCCUGAGAGGGUGACCGGCCACAUUGGGACUGAGAUACGGCCCAGACUCCUACGGGAGGCAGCAGUGGGGAAUAUUGCACAAUGGGCGGAAGCCUGAUGCAGCAACGCCGCGUGCGGGAUGACGGCCUUCGGGUUGUAAACCGCUUUCGCCUGUGACGAAGCGUGAGUGACGGUAAUGGGUAAAGAAGCACCGGCUAACUACGUG